GGUAUGAUCUCUGAGUUGGAUAGUUGAUAAAAAGUACACUUUUCCAAAUUCAAGCAAUAAAAAUGGAAUGCUGAAUGCAAUAGUCAUAGAUAACACCAAAAUCGUAAGAUGUUUAUCGAGGGAAAUAUAAUUCGUCUUAAAAUAAGUAAUUAUCCUUUGUAUCUCGCACUUCGAGAUUACGAAGGUAGUUUCACUACUUUCAUGACUUGGACCACAAUUCAGAUCUAAAGUGAACGACUGGGGCGCCCCGUGACCAUUGUGGCGCUGCCCUAUUACUAUUUAUUCAUUCGUUAUUUUUGCGUAAGACAGAUCACACGUUUGGUGCAAGUGAACAGUUUCAACGUAUUUUAUUAAUAAUAAUAGAGAUAGAAAAUUAUCAAUGGGUAGUAGCAAGAAGAAAAGGUCAAGAAGUCGGGAUCGUUCAAGGGAAAGGACAUCCAAAAGACUUCACAAGUUAGAGGAUAAGAUGGAGGAGAUAGCAACGGGGUUUGCUGCAAUAAAGGAAGCCAUCUUGGGACCCCAAGGUACAGUCCAUGAGAUGCCGGAGCGAUCGUAAUCAGAUGUGGAAGUCUUCAUAGGAGCUGGAUGCGGAUGCUCUCCGUAUCUUUGAGAGGAUCCGGUGCAGGAAGAACUUAAAUUCGUCCUGCACUCCAGUGUCGCUAAUCGUUGGAAAAAAAAAAUAUAUUUAUCCGAAGGUCUAAAGAGAGUCACUCCUAGGAAAAUACCCCAGGAAGGGCAAACUUUCGUUCGAGCCGCCGAUUUUGAAUGAAGAGGUGACAGUUAACUUAAAAGAAUCAGCUCUGAAGAGGGACAAGUACUCUGGUGCUACGCAGAAGCUAGCAAGAUCUGCUUGGCUGCUUUGACUCCAAAACAACUGCAUGUGCAUCUAAGCCGGUAAUAAAUGAACAGCAGCCUCAAAAACGAGCGGUUAAAUAAGUGAUGAGAGAUUGGAGCAAAGUUGGGAUGCGGCAAAAUUACCAAUUGAGAUCGACAGAUCUCAAACGAUUGCACGCAGAGCUUGCAGCUUACCGACGUUGUCAAAGCAGUGGGCGACGGCACUAGACAAAAGGCAAGCUAAUGAUUAUUUGUUCGGCGAUAAAUUAGUCGACAAGGUUAAGGAGAUCAAGGCCAUUGGGGAAGUCUGGAAGAGUUGAAGCAGACAUUUUACCCCUAGUCGAGCCAAUAUCGUCAGCAGAACCAACGGUCUCAGAACUGCUUCAGAAGAGAAUGUAAGUAUGUUUGUGGGGCGUCUAAAGUAUUUCUUAAAAGCCUGGAAAACAAUCACUGAGGACAGAAUUGUCAUUCAGUGUGUAGAAUGGUAUAAAAUACCUUUUAAAUUGGUCCCUGUACAAACUCGUCCACCACCUGACAGGGUUUGGUCGGGUCAGGAAAUGGCAUGCAUCCAAUCAGAGAUUAACAGACUGCUUUCGAUAGGCGCAUUUGAGAAAGUACAAGUGGUUCCUGGACAUUUCCUUUCACCGUUCCUUCUGGUCCCUAAGUCGGAUGGUCAACAGAGGUUCAUUCUGAACCUGAAGAAUCUAAAUACGUUUGUUGACGCAGAACACUUCAAACUCGAGGAUCUUAGAUCCGUUUACAGCCUUUCGGAGCGUGAUAUUUUUAUGGGUACAGUGGAUCUUAAAGAUGCUUACUUUCUGAUUUCAGUAUGGAAGUCACAUCGGAGAUUUCUGAGAUUCCUCUUUAAGGGGGUAUUCUGGUCUAGAGGCACGAAUUUUAGGUACUUUUUCAAGUGCAAUAACAAAAAGACGAAUAAUAUUUUCACUAUCUAUAAUGUUACAAGAUAUUUAUUAAUAUUUCAAAAAUACAUGAAAAAAAGAAAAUAGUGAAAAAAUUAAAAAUUGAAAAUGAUAUAGGCUGAUGAAGUGGGGGUUCCCAAAAAAAUAUGCGUGACGGUUGUCACGAUUGCAACUCUUCUAGUAAUCCGAAAUAAAAAAAUAGAAAAGGUUAUUAAUUAAGAAUAAUGCCGCUAUCGUUCGAACUAAAAGAA
This 2005-nucleotide long non-coding RNA is filed under the name Polistes dominula (European paper wasp). RNAcentral's name for it is "uncharacterized LOC107073474, transcript variant X1". Lineage: Eukaryota; Metazoa; Arthropoda; Insecta; Hymenoptera; Vespidae. The record is from RNAcentral.